CAGGCGCGAAAAUUACCGAAGCUCAAAAUGAGGCGGUAGUAAUGAGACGUAAAAAAAUAAUAUAAGGGUAAAAAACUUAUUAAUAACUGGAGGUCAAGUCUGGUGCCAGCAUCCGCGGUAAUACCAGCUCCAGGGGUGUCUAUGAUGAUUGCUGCGAUUAAAAGGUCCGUAGUCGAAUUUAGAUAAUUGUUUGUAAUAUGUUAGAUAAAAUAAUAAAAAGAACAAUUAGUUAAAUGAAAGGAAUAGCAAGAGGUUGAUUAAUCGAGUAACGAGAGGUGAAAUUUGAUGACUUACUUGGGAGAAACAGAGGCGAAAGCGUCAAUCAAGUGUAAAUCCGAUGAUCAAGGACGUAGGCUGGAGUAUCGAACACGAUUAGAUACCGUAGUAGUUCCAGCAGUAAACUAUGCCUACGCCAUUGAAUAAAAGUUUGGUGGACGAGAAAUCUAGAGUAGGGCCUUGGGGAGAGUACACGCGCAAGCGAUAAAUUUAAAGGAAAUU
Molecule: ribosomal RNA, 498 nt
Filed under: Microsporidium sp. BALB1 BRA1
Lineage: Eukaryota; Fungi; Microsporidia
Description: SSU rRNA
Rfam family: Microsporidia small subunit ribosomal RNA
Source: RNAcentral